RNAcentral lists this ribosomal RNA (206 nucleotides) under uncultured bacterium. RNAcentral describes it as "partial 16S ribosomal RNA". It matches the Rfam family "Bacterial small subunit ribosomal RNA", at positions 568 to 774 of the family's 1533-position model. The record is from RNAcentral.
CGUGUAGGCGGCCAGGUAGGUCGGUUGUGAAAACUAGAGGCUCAACCUCUAGACGUCGACCGAAACCAUCUGGCUAGAGUCCGGAAGAGGAGAGUGGAAUUCCUGGUGUAGCGGUGAAAUGCGCAGAUAUCAGGAAGAACACCCGUGGCGAAGGCGGCUCUCUGGGACGGUACUGACGCUGAGACGCGAAAGCGUGGGAGCGAACA